AUUGGGCACCUACAUGCUUGUCUUGGUGUCAGUCACACCAAUGACUCGAGACCAGUCACUCUCCCAAAGAGAAGACAUAACACAUACUGAUCUUAACGGACUGUCAAUGCCCAAUUGGUAAUCCUAUGAUCAGGAACGUUUAGGAUAUGUAUACGAAAGAGAAUGGUCUCAUGAAUCUAACUUCUUUAGAUCGCAUUCUCCCAAUUACAUAUUCCUUGGACUUAUCGUUUAAGUGUAUAACAUUUAUAUGAGACAGCUUCAAACAAUAAUCUUUGCCCUUUAAAUUAAACUAUAUUAGUUUAACAUGUGAAAUGUCCGUAAAGUAUCAUCAUAUGAUUGGUUUUAGGGCACAUUUCCAACAAUCUCCCACUUGCACUAGAGCCAAUCAGUUUGGUCAUCAAUGAUGAUACCUUUUCUGU
This 419-nucleotide long non-coding RNA is filed under the name Malus domestica (apple). RNAcentral's name for it is "long non-coding RNA (MDOM_LNC000169)". Lineage: Eukaryota; Viridiplantae; Streptophyta; Magnoliopsida; Rosales; Rosaceae. The record is from RNAcentral.